GUGCUCACUUCAGCAGCACAUAAACUGAACAUUGGAAGGUGGUAGAGAAGAUUAGCAUGGCCGCUGCACAAAGAUGUCACGCAAAUUCGUGAAGCAUUCCGUAUUUUU
This is a small nuclear RNA of Otolemur garnettii (small-eared galago), 108 nucleotides long. NCBI's taxonomy places the organism in Eukaryota, Metazoa, Chordata, Mammalia, Primates, Galagidae. The record is from Ensembl.